This 410-nucleotide long non-coding RNA is filed under the name Gallus gallus (chicken). RNAcentral's name for it is "lncRNA (ENSGALG00010012823.1)". Lineage: Eukaryota; Metazoa; Chordata; Aves; Galliformes; Phasianidae. The record is from RNAcentral.
UUCUGGAUGGUGGUUGCUUCUUGAGAAGGAGUGUUUUACAGUCGAUCACACUCAUCACCAGCUGGGUGGAAGUGGGAGCUGCUGUAAGGCUCAGUUCUCCAGUAAUGGGAUGGCUCAGUGACCAAAGAAAGCUGUAAGGUUUUGAUCCAGGAGGAAGGGGUCAGGACUGCAGAAAUCUCAGGAGACAGAGAGCAAAGAGCUGUACAAAGACAAUUUGAAAUAUGUGCAAAGGGUUUCAUCUACCACAAAUACAAUUAUCUCAGUGGCAAAUUGUGCAGCUUUCUAUUUAACAUUUCCCUUGAUCUUUUUAUCCUUAUGUUUUUUAUUCCUGGCUACCUCUUACUCUGUGCACCUUUGAAGCUAAGUCUUAUUUAUGGGGUGCUGGUUCUAGUCGUAUAAAGAGCAAAUCU